CGGCGCCGGCGGGACAGGGGGGCGUGGUGGGAGAAGGUUCCUGAUCCCGAGGCCGAGUUGCUGGACAGGGAAGCACCCGCUUGAAGAGCAGUCGUUUUCACCUGAUCUUGACUCUCUGGGUGAAGAACAACAUUUGGUGGGUGGAAGAAUAUACAUGCACUAAAGAUUAAUGAGCUUUUUAUUUAGAUUGACAACUACAAUCUACUAAUCUGCUGUACACAGUGUCCAAUACCCUUGUGUCAUGCUAGCGUAGCUCCAGGCACUCUUCUUGCCUGAGCCUUUGCAGAGGCUGCCGAGAUCAGCCCUUCCUUUGCUGGCAGCAGCAGGGUCUAAGUGAGUCUGGAGGUUAUCAGCUCGCUAAUGGCACAUAAUGGUGAUGAAAGAUGUGAAGGUACCAAGUGAAGGCUACAGAAAGUGACAAGAUCAGGCAGAAUAAUGCUGCUUUGGAAACCUAGACUUUAGUCAUGCCAGUGAUAAUAGUCAUUACACUACAUUAAUGAACUUUUUUUCAACCUAACAUGUGGGGUAUAGAUGUGCUAAGCCUUUGUUGCAAAUACAGUAAUGGUCAUGCUUUGUCUGUUCUGUAAGUCUCUGCACACUGAGAAGUUAAGUUCUCUGAAAUCUCUCACACUUUAAUCACCCAAAAUAAGAUUUUUGUACCUCAAGGUACCUCUCAGUACCUCAAGGCUGUAUCUCUAAAAGGGGGGUGAUGACAUGCUCCUUAGCUCUGAGUGGUUCAUGAAAAUAAAGGUAAUAAUGUCUGGAAAAAUAUGAGGCUGGGGUGGUAAGUAUUCUGAGAAAAAUGAUCUUCUCUUCAAAAACUAUUUGCUUAUUGUGCAAAAAAUAAGUAAAAAAGAUUGAACAGUGGAAAAAAACUACUGAACAGAAGAGCACUUUUCAAUUGUAGCACUGAAUUCAGAAGAAAGCUAUGAAAACACAACACUUGGUAGUCUUUAAUGCACAAAUACGGUAAAAAUUGAAUCUAACCUUAAUUUUUCAAUUUUAUGAUUCCUGAGUGCUCAUUUUCAUUACCGAGAUAAUAUUCUGUGAAAUAUACUUUUCCAUGGGGUAAUUCACAUGCAUGUACACUGCAUAUCCCCAUGCACUAGGUAGCUGCUACUUGUCAGCAGUUUGAACCUUUGCCAAACACAUCUCUCUGGUGUUAUCCUCACCAGAGCAUUUCCAAAUAAUACUAUGAUAGGUUGCCAUUCUAAACCAAAUACUUUAAUAUCCCUGUCAUGAACAAUCCUCCUGAAGGGCAAAAAUGCCAACCGACAUAACAGCCACCCUUCUGGAGAAUCUCUGACGCCCUGUCUCAUUCUA
Long non-coding RNA from Neopelma chrysocephalum (saffron-crested tyrant-manakin), 1323 nucleotides. RefSeq lists it as uncharacterized. The record is from RefSeq and is a predicted model, not a curated record. NCBI's taxonomy places the organism in Eukaryota, Metazoa, Chordata, Aves, Passeriformes, Pipridae. The transcript has 3 exons.